CCCUUAGAUGCUCUGGGCCGCACGCGCGCUACACUGGUCGAUGCAACGAGUUUCUUUCCUUGGCCGACAGGCCUGGGCAAUCUUUGAACAUCGAUCGUGAUCGGGAUAGAUUCUUGUAAUUUUUGAUCUUAAACGAGGAAUUCCUAGUAAACGCAAGUCAUCAGCUUGCAUUGAUUACGUCCCUGCCCUUUGUACACACCGCCCGUCGCUCCUACCGAUUGAAUGGUCCGGUGAAAAUUUCGGAUACCGGCAUUGCUGGCGGUUCGCCGCCGGCGACGCUGGUAGAAGAUCUUUAAACCUUAUCAUUUAGAGGAAGGAGAAGUCGUAACA
Molecule: ribosomal RNA, 330 nt
Filed under: uncultured eukaryote
Lineage: Eukaryota
Description: partial 18S ribosomal RNA
Rfam family: Eukaryotic small subunit ribosomal RNA
Source: RNAcentral